AUUUGAAUUCUGUAUGUGGCUGUCGCUGAGCCCAUGGCAUCACCUUCCGCCGUUCUUUUAACUUUUUUUAAGCCCUAAACACUCCCUCUGCUUUCUUUUUCAUCCUUACCUCGCUAUUGUGCUUCUUAAUUAAGGUUUUGAAAGCAUUUUCUCUAGCUUUCAAGAGAAAUGGAGCGAAAUCAUCUCAACGGUCGAUUUUCACCCUCCUCUCUCGCCGAUCGCGGCUGGACCGCUAGAUCCGUCACUCCGCCUCUGCAACCCA
Molecule: unclassified non-coding RNA, 262 nt
Filed under: Hevea brasiliensis (rubber tree)
Lineage: Eukaryota; Viridiplantae; Streptophyta; Magnoliopsida; Malpighiales; Euphorbiaceae
Source: RNAcentral